Molecule: long non-coding RNA, 5423 nt
Filed under: Heterocephalus glaber (naked mole-rat)
Lineage: Eukaryota; Metazoa; Chordata; Mammalia; Rodentia; Bathyergidae
Description: lncRNA (ENSHGLG00000042727.1)
Source: RNAcentral
CUUUAUUUACAUAAUCUGUCCCAUAGUCAUGCAUUGUUUUGCACCCCAAAUUUUUUAUUGUUUGUAGCAGCAUGAUUCGCUUUCCUCUUGGUCUAGAGAUGAGGCUCAAGCACUAUCCCAUUUACUCCAGUACGCAGUGUAUAACUACUUAAGGAAAGCAGAUUGAACUUCAUCCUCUUUCCUUUCCUUUCUAUUUUCACAUGAUGCCCUCAUCUUCCAUCCUUUUUUAGUUGGAAUGACUCAAUCAUGUGAAAUUAGUUACCAAAUUAACACAGUUUAGACUAUCAUCCUGACUGCUUAAACCCCUCUACUGAGAUCUGCUCAUGAAUAGUACUUUAUAAUAUUAGGGAAUAGAAACCGUGAAGUUUUUACUUUUCAAAGCUAUUUAUCCAUAUUUCAAAUUAAAAGUAGGACAUGAAAUCAAUUGCAGAUGAUAUCCCAUUUCCUAAGUGGUCAGGUCUCAUUCCAACUUCAUUAAAUCCCAUUUGAGCACAGAACACAUUCUCAAACAUUUUGAAAAAUAUUCUUCCAAAAUGUAGGAACUAAUGCUAGUCAUCAUUCUAGGAUCUGAUAUUUUAUUCAGUUUUUUAAAUGAAUGACUAAUGUUCUAGGAAAUAGUUUUAGCAAAUUCCCAGGUGCCACACCAAAACAAAAAAAGUGCAAUAAUUUACUGACAGUUUCUAGAUUAGGCAUAUUAUUGGAGAACAACUUUAUAAAGAGUGCACAUUGUAUAAUCUAGUAAAACAGCAUCACUUUAAAAUAUUCAUCUACAAAAUCAGAUACCUAUAGAAGUCUUAAAUAGUGAACAAGGGACUCUAAUGCAAAUACUCUUAAUAUCUGGCUAUUUUAGAACCCUUAAAGGGCAUAAUUAACGAAGAUUUAGGUACUUCACUAAAGCAUGUAUAUAAUGCCAACAUGAAAAAUAAAUUUGAAGAUUAGGGGAACUUAUUUCUGUAAAUUGUCUGAAAUAUUUAUGCAGAAUUUAAUCUGUUUUAAGUUGGAAAGCAGAUAGAUUCUGCAAAUAGAGAUUUCAUUAUUUAAACAACAUUUUGUGUUAUAUAGAUAUAUGCAGUUGAUACAUACUAACAUCGCAGCCUUUUCUGUAUCAGGGAUUGAUUAUAAGAAAACUCAGUGAAAUGGUACAAAUCCAAAACUUUGAUGGGGAAAACUGAAGAAGUAACAGAGAACUGUGUUUUACUCAAGUGCCAAGAAAGCCUUGAGCCUCCUUGCACAAAAUCUGUUCAAUUUUUGCAUUUUUUUUUUCACAUUAAUGCAGGUAGUUGCCCACUUCCUAUUUCCCAAGACCUCUUUGCCAUUAAAACACACAAGCCACAUAGCUUAUUUCAUUACAUACAUUUAUUUUUAAGUUAUUACAACCAAAUUAAUUCAAUUUGAAGAAGUAUAGAUAAAUUCUGUAAAGAAUAUAGAUUAAGUGAUCUAGGAAACAAAGGAGGACAGUUAAUGUUCAGAAAGGCAAAGGCCAAAAGUGGAAUGGAAAGCUACACAGGGUGACAGAUCUGUUUCAGGUCUGUGAUGAUACAGCCGCUUCCAGGUACUUGAGUAUCAGGGGUCAGUGCCACAGCUGACCAUGUUUGUCAUCAACCAUGAUGUAAUUGACUGUUGGCUCCACAGUCUCAUUACUUGAGAAAUACUCCUUCAGUAAUUAGUUUGGAGGGAAAAAUCACAUCUAAAGAAAAAAGCCUAGCUUUAAAUACAGUGUAACAAGAAAUAGUCAACUGUUUAAAAAUCACACUUUUUAACAUAUGCUCAGCUAUAUGAAAACAUUUAUUUUGAGUAUUUUUAGACUGCUGUUAAUUUAAAAUCUAUUCAUAUUGUGGAAUUUGGGUUUUUUUUAAAAAAAGAUGUUUCUAAUUGGAUUUUUUAAAAGAAGAAAAAUUGGGCUGCUAUUUUAUGAUAGAACCUCAGCUUUUUCUGGUUUUUAGUGUCCUCUGUAAAACUUACUAUCAGUAAUUAACUUUGAGGUUUUCCCUUUAUUCUACUUUAUAUUACAAUCCCAUUAGGAAAUGGGAAACUGGUGAAUAUAUAAUGAAUUGUAAAAUAUUUUAAUGUGUAACUUUCAACUGUGAAACUAUGACUUUGGUAUUUUGAUGAAAACAGCUGCUGAUAAAGUAUUUUGUAUAAAGUGUAGUUCUUAUUAAUCAGGAAAUGAUGGUUUGAUUAGAUUGUGUAUACCCUUGGAUUUUAUUUUAAAUGGAUUAAUUUUCACAUAGGUAAAACACAGUCCAUCUGUGUUCUUUUUCCAUCAAAAACUGACUGAUUUGGCAUUAUUUUUUAAAAUUGUGAAAAGGCUAUCUCAAAGGCAUGAUGGAAAUUUCAUAGCACAUAAACUUGGAUUUGUUUCUUUACAGAAUGAUUUUGUAGAUCCAUUAACUCAUAUUUUGAUCAAUAUCCCAUGCUUGCCAACUCUUUUGAAAUUUAAUUUCUAGCAGUAUAUUCAAGCUACUAUGUUAACCUUUUCUGGACAUCAUAAGUUCCUUUUCUGUGCCUACACAAACUAUAGUCCUGGGCUGGACCCACACACUUGAAGUCCACCUUUAAAAAUUAUCUUGAUGUCCAAGGGAUCACUAAAAUAAUUAAGUUUAAAAACAAUAUAUAGUGUUAAUAGAUGGUGGUGCUUCUAUUUAAAGUCAACUUUCAUACUUCACGUGUUUUGAGAUUAAGGGAGUGUGAAGGGAGGGCACAGAACAGGGAGGAGUUGUUUGACUGAACCUGCAUUCUUUAUAUCCAUCCUCAGAUGGUGGCAUGUCUAAGAGAAAGCUGGAAGUUGUGAAAAUAUAUUAUGCAUACCAUGAAGGAAUUAACUCUUCAUCGAGGAUAGGUUGUGAAGGCUGAACUAUAUAAUUCAGUACUGACACACCUUCAAAUAAUAAUUCUUGGUGAAAGGAUAGUACAGCUGGGCUGUUUUUAAAAGUACAAACAGAACCAUUUUAAUGAAUACAUUAAAAUUGUACAUAUAUCUUAUGUGUCAUGGCCUGGGAAGAUGGUUUUCUUUUGUCAUGAAAAUUAUUUCUACUCUCUAAAAAGACUAUUAGGAUUAACUCAAGAUAAAUGUGGUCCCAAUAUAAUUGAAUUGGUAGCUGUACCUCAGAAAGUUAGGAGAGAAAAAAUAGAUGAGUUACACUUCAAUACUUCAGGCUCUUAACGUUACAGAAAUUUUUCCGAGCACUGUAUUUUGGAUUUGCAAAGUCAGAGUUGGCAUGUCUUAUUUUUAAUGGUGCUGGAGACAUUAAUAAAAAUUUUUGGCUAAAAUUUAAUCAUUGCUACAGCCCUUUGGAAAAGGCUGUAGUGUAGUGUGAGGACGUUCAUGGUAUUAGGUUCUCAAAUUUGGCAUUUAAAAUCCAUUUUGUUCUCUUCCUCUACUAUUUUGUGUGUUUCUGCACACAUCUCUAUUUGUGCACACAUUGCAAGCUCCAGUCAAGAGGAAUUUUUUAUAAAAUGCGUAAACAAAUACUAAGGUUCUAAAAUUCAGAAGAGUUUAGAAUUUAUUAGGAAUCUCCCAAGUUGGAAUGUUAAGUCUUCAAAUAUACUUAUUUAUUUCAUCCAAAUAUUCCACUUGAUUAAGGUUUUGCACUUCCUUUUCAUUAGUGGAGCACCAUUCCUCUUCCUUAGUUUUAGGUGUGUUAAUAGUCUAGCCACACUAGUUAGCAGAAAGUGGCAGGUGUGAGACAUAGGGAUAUCUUCUGACUUGUAACUUUUACACAACUACAUAUAAGAGUUUUAGUGGGGAGGGGAAGUAAAACUAGUCCAGUGUAUGUAUGUAUAGUAUAGUUCAGUGUAACUGAAUUUUCCCUGCCAAGAGAAUCCAUUCUUCAUGUUGGUAAGUACAGAAAAAGGUUUUAAAUACAUUUUGUAAGCCAAGUAGAGUCUGUUAAUCUGCAACCUUGCUUAAUCUGUCACUUCAAUAAUUUUGUAGCAAAACCAUGUACAUUUUAAGGUAUUCUUAUUUUUAUUGAUCUUUCUAGGUUACCAAGGAAAUAAAAUCCCUUUGGUGUUUCACAUUAAAAUAUCUUUAAUACGACUAAACUCCUUAAUUCUUGAAUGAAUUUCAAAGUGUGGUCAUCACCUAUUGAUUUCAUUUUUUUUAAAAGUUCCUUACCAGAUUUAAUUUAUGUCCUAAGAGUGGUUGGAGAACUUGGUAUUUAUCAGAUAUCUAGAAAUCUUUUUGGCUGGAACUCAUAUUUUAUAUGCAGCUAAUGGUUUCAGUGUAAGUCUUCAGACUUAAUUUAGUUAAAUAAAAUUCAAAAGAACAUACCCUUUUGGAACCUAGCAUCUUCAUAUCCUGGGAAAUGUAAUGCUACCCAAAGACUGCUGACACAUCAAUUGUUUACUUUAGAAGCUUCAACAGGGAGCUCGACCCACUCUUUUUUUUUAAGAACCAUUAAUUAUAGCAAGUCUUUUUCUUUAUAUUCUGUUCAUUCCAUGAAUUGAAGUCCUGUGGUACAAUGCAUUAGUUAGGAAAAAAAUGUUUUCGAUGUCCUCUUUAUGAUGGCCCAAAAAGUAUUUGACACAGCAAGAUGCAUGUGUUACUAUAUUUAGAAUAUAGAAUAAUAGCACUAAAUUUAACACCUCUUCCCAGUCUUGCUCUUCCUAGCCAGAAGUUUGGCCUGUGACUGCACUUAUUGUUUGUUUGUGCUCAUCAAAAACUGUCAAUGUCUGCUUUUCUUUAACUUUGCAGUCUGUAACAUCACGCUGUUUAUUAAAAAAAAAAAAAAAAUUACCUUGACUUGUGUCCAAACAAUCCUUAGUGUAUUGUAUAAGAAAAAGCUGUGAUAAUUCUAUUUUGCCAUGUCCCUUUGAGAAGCAAAUUAGUAUUGCCAAUAAUCAAAAUUUAGCUGGAUUUGAGUUCUUUUCAUUAAUGAGUAAGAAUACUUACUUGAAAACCUAAAACAAUUAUGCCUUAAAAGCCAGUUUUCUGCCCUGAUAAAGUGAUGAAUAGUAGAGAAAUGUAUGUUUAGAUACUAACUUCCUUUAAGCAUAAAGAAAUAUAUAUAUAAAUGUUUGUAUAUAUGUGUAUAAGUAUAUAGUCUUUUCAAGUCAGUUGAAGGCCAAAACCUAAAAAUGAAGUUAGGCUAGAAGCAAACUAAUUUUGCUUUGAGUUAUCAUUAAACAUUGCUAAAGGUAAGUCUGGGACUUUCUUUGAUCAGUAAUGCACAUCACCUUUGAUAUUUAGUACUUCUAAGCAUUUAAGCGUAUCAUUGAUUAAAUUUUACUGAUAUGACAAAUGAUUUGAAUUUUAAAUUGACAUUGUUCCCUAAGUAUAAUUUCUUUUCUAGGAUGAACCAAGUAGCCACUAUCUAAAUGGAAAACUGAAAGUAAUUGCAACAUAUACUUUAGCUUGCAUUUGUUAGAAGAAAAAUCAUAGGGACUGCAUAUUGCUAAGAUGUACGAAGAAACAAUAAAAU